Molecule: ribosomal RNA, 128 nt
Filed under: Fasciola hepatica (liver fluke)
Lineage: Eukaryota; Metazoa; Platyhelminthes; Trematoda; Plagiorchiida; Fasciolidae
Source: RNAcentral
GCGACCAUACCACUUUUGAAACACCGGUUCUCGUCUGAUCACUGAAGUUAAGCAACGUCGGGCCCGGUUAGUACUUGAAUCCGUGCCCAUAUCAGCCAGCACCUACUGGAGCACUCCAUGUUAAGUCC